Molecule: ribosomal RNA, 2067 nt
Filed under: Diplonema sp. ATCC 50225
Lineage: Eukaryota; Euglenozoa; Diplonemea; Diplonemida; Diplonemidae
Description: SSU rRNA
Rfam family: Eukaryotic small subunit ribosomal RNA
Source: RNAcentral
AACCUGGUUGAUCCUGCCAGUAGUCAUAUGCUUGUUUCAAGGAUUAAGCCAUGCAAGUCUCAGAGUAAAUGGAUUAACAGUGGAUCUGCAGACGGCUCAUUAAAUCGGCAACAAUCUACGCGGGGAAAGUGCCUCUCGGCUCUCAGUUGGAUAUCAAUGGUAACUCCAUUGCUAAUACAUGUCCGAAAAAUCCAACUCACAUUCCACCCCAUGGGGGAGACCCCGUGGGGGUGAGGUGGAUACAGUUGACCGGAAUAAAAACCAACGCCAGCAAUGGCAGUGGUGUGUGGAUGAAACAGGUCAACCGAGUGAUAGCACACUCCCUCGAGGAGGUGCAAGCCCGCAAGAGCUUCUGCCCUAUCAGCUUUUGACGGUAGUGUAGUGGACUACCGUGGCCGUAACGGGUAACGGGGAAUUAGGGUUCGAUUCCGGAGAGGGAGCCUGAGAAACGGCUACCACAUCUAAGGAUGGCAGCAGGCGCGCAAAUUGCCCAAUAGCAACACUGCUGAGGCAGCGAAGAGAAAUAGUAACUUCUAGUACCUAGUGCUAUGGAGAUUGCAAUGGAUGAUAUCUAAACCUGUCAGUGAGUAUCAAUUGGUGGACAAGUCUGGUGCCAGCACCCGCGGUAAUUCCAGCACCAAUAGCGUAUAUUAAUGCUGCUGCUGUUAAAAAGCUCGUAGUUGGAUCCAGAGUUCAGGUUGCAAUACGGCUCAUUCCUAGUGUUGACGCGUACUGCUGAUACAUUCAGGCUUGAGGUACACCGUUUGCGUCAAGACCUGAGCUCUAUGAACGGUGGUAAUGGAGCUCUGUGAGUAGGCCCCUUCAUUGGGGUUGAAAGCGCCUACGCAUAUACCAUAUGCUUACGGGUCGACCACCGAUGUUACUGUGAACAAACCAGCGUGUCCAAAGCAGGCGUAUGCCUUGAAUGAUAAAGCAUGGAAUAACAAGGGAUCGAUUCUCUCGGUUCUUUUUGUUGGUUUUUAACCCGGAAGGAGUAAUUCAAGUGACGGACCCUAGUCGCGUUGGUCUUAGGACUUUCGCUUCUAGACCGUCGCCCAGCGGGAUCAAUAGGGACUGCCGGGGUCGUACGUACUCCCACGUCAGAGGUGAAAUUCUUAGAUCGUGGGAAGACGAACUUCUGCGAAAGCAUUCGACAAGAAUGUCUUCAUUAAUCAAGAACGAGAGUGUGGGGAUCGAAGAUGAUCAGAUACCGUCGUAGUCCACUACUGUAAACGAUGCCGUCUCAGGAUCGAGAGAUGUUCUUCUAAUGGCUCUCACGGCACUAACCCCUGAAACGAGAAAUCAAAGAUUAUGGGUUCAGGGGGGAGUACAUUCGCAAGGCUGAAACUUAAAGGAAUUGACGGAAUGACACCACCAGGCGUGGAGUAUGCGGCUUAAUUUGACUCAACACGGGGAAUUUUACUAGGUCAGGACAAUGUAAGGAUUGACAGAUUGAGAGCUCUUUCUCGAUCCAUUGUGUGGUGGUGCAUGGCCGCUCCUGGUUGGUGGAGUGAUUUGUCUGGUUGAUUCCGUUAACGAACGAGAUCUCGACCCUUAAAUAGGUGUACCGUCGUUUAGGGUAUAUUGUAUUGAUGCAUUAGCUGAUAAUACAUUUGCCUGAGACAGUGCAAUACUUCUUAAGGGGACUGCAUGCGUCUCUAGCAUGCGGAAGAGCGAGCCAAUAGCAGGUCUGUGAUGCUCCUAAAUGUCCUAGGCUGCACGCGCACUACACUGACGCAUUAAACGAGUCUGAUUGCCUUUCGGCAACCUAUCUUGAAGAGGAUGGGAAAUCUUUUGAACUUGCGUCGUGAUGAGGAUCGAUGAUUGCAAUUAUUCUCCUUGAAUGAGGAAUGCCUAGUAGGCGCAAGUCAUCAGCUUGCACUGAUUACGUCCCUGCCAUUUGUACACACCGCCCGUCGUUGCUACCGAUUGGCUGUGGGAUAGAGCUGGGGGGAGGGUGUCUCUUAAGGGCGACCUUUUGAGACGUCGCGAAUCCCAGCAAUAUUUCUCAGCUAGAGGAAGCAAAAGUCGUAACAAGGUUGCUGUAGGUGAACCUGCAGAAGGAUC